RNAcentral lists this ribosomal RNA (253 nucleotides) under uncultured bacterium. Its description in RNAcentral is "partial 16S ribosomal RNA". It matches the Rfam family "Bacterial small subunit ribosomal RNA", at positions 524 to 776 of the family's 1533-position model. The record is from RNAcentral.
UACGAAGGGGGCUAGCGUUGCUCGGAAUCACUGGGCGUAAAGCGCACGUAGGCGGUCUUUUAAGUCAGGGGUGAAAUCCUGGAGCUCAACUCCAGAACUGCCUUUGAUACUGGCGAUCUCGAGUCCGGGAGAGGUGAGUGGAACUGCGAGUGUAGAGGUGAAAUUCGUAGAUAUUCGCAAGAACACCAGUGGCGAAGGCGGCUCACUGGCCCGGUACUGACGCUGAGGUGCGAAAGCGUGGGGAGCAAACAGG